RNAcentral lists this ribosomal RNA (161 nucleotides) under Dillenia turbinata. RNAcentral describes it as "5.8S ribosomal RNA". It matches the Rfam family "5.8S ribosomal RNA". Rfam says of the family: 5.8S ribosomal RNA (5.8S rRNA) is a component of the large subunit of the eukaryotic ribosome. It is transcribed by RNA polymerase I as part of the 45S precursor that also contains 18S and 28S rRNA. Lineage: Eukaryota; Viridiplantae; Streptophyta; Magnoliopsida; Dilleniales; Dilleniaceae. The record is from RNAcentral.
UCAACGACUCUCGGCAACGGAUAUCUCGGCUCUCGCAUCGAUGAACAACGUAGCGAAAUGCGAUACUUGGUGUGAAUUGCAGGAUCCCGUGAAUCAUCGAGUUUUUGAACGCAAGUUGCGCCCGAAGCCAUUAGGCCGAGGGCACGCCUGACCUGGGCGUC